GGAGAGAUGGCCGAGCGGCUUAAGGCGCCGGUUUGCUAAACCGGUGUACGGGCUUAAACCUGUACCGCGGGUUCAAAUCCCGCUCUCUCCG
This 91-nucleotide transfer RNA is filed under the name Phycisphaerae bacterium. Its description in RNAcentral is "tRNA-Ser". It matches the Rfam family "tRNA". Rfam says of the family: Transfer RNA (tRNA) molecules are approximately 80 nucleotides in length. Their secondary structure includes four short double-helical elements and three loops (D, anti-codon, and T loops). Lineage: Bacteria; Pseudomonadati; Planctomycetota; Phycisphaerae. The record is from RNAcentral.